GAGUUUGAUCAUGGCUCAGAUUGAACGCUGGCGGCAUGCCUUACACAUGCAAGUCGAACGGCAGCACGGGAGCUUGCUCCUGGUGGCGAGUGGCGAACGGGUGAGUAAUGCAUCGGAACGUAUCCUGGAGUGGGGGAUAACGUAGCGAAAGUUACGCUAAUACCGCAUAUUCUGUGGAGCAGGAAAGCGGGGGACCUUCGGGCCUACGCGCUCUUGGAGCGGCCGAUGUCGGAUUAG
This 237-nucleotide ribosomal RNA is filed under the name bacterium enrichment culture clone ALO1_GLFRUDD03G4LYE. RNAcentral's name for it is "partial 16S ribosomal RNA". It matches the Rfam family "Bacterial small subunit ribosomal RNA", at positions 9 to 244 of the family's 1533-position model. The record is from RNAcentral.